GAUGAAGAACGUAGUGAAAUGCGAUAAGUAAUGUGAAUUGCAGAAUUCAGUGAAUCAUCGAAUCUUUGAACGCAUCUUGCGCUCCUUGGUAUUCCUUGGAGCAUGCCUGUUUGAGUAUCAUGAGCAAAUCUCAAAGUCAAUUCCUUUUGUUGAUUCAAUUGGUUUUGCUUUGGACUUGGAGGCCUUGCAGAUUUCACAGUCUGCUCCUCUUAAAUGCAUUAGCUGGAUCUCAGUAAUUAUGCUUGGUUCCACUCGGCGUGAUAAGUAUCACUCGCUGAGGACACUGUUAAAAAGGUGGCCAGGAAAAUACUGAUUGAACCGCUUCUAACGGUCUAUUAAGUUAGACAAUAAGCGGAGGA
Molecule: unclassified non-coding RNA, 359 nt
Filed under: soil metagenome
Description: partial contains 5.8S ribosomal RNA and internal transcribed spacer 2
Rfam family: 5.8S ribosomal RNA (bases 1-120)
Source: RNAcentral